GAUGAAGAACGCAGCGAAAUGUGAUAAGUAAUGUGAAUUGCAGAAUUCAGUGAAUCAUCGAAUCUUUGAACGCACAUUGCGCCCGCCAGUAUUCUGGCGGGCAUGCCUGUUCGAGCGUCAUUACAACCCUCAGGCCCCCGGGCCUGGCGUUGGGGAUCGGCGGAAGCCCCCUGUGGGCACACGCCGUCCCUCAAAUACAGUGGCGGUCCCGCCGCAGCUUCCAUUGCGUAGUAGCUAACACCUCGCAACUGGAGAGCGGCGCGGCCAUGCCGUAAAACACCCAACUUCUGAAUGUUGACCUCGAAUCAGGUAGGAAUACCCGCUGAACUUAAGCAUAUCAAUAAGCGGAGGA
This 352-nucleotide unclassified non-coding RNA is filed under the name soil metagenome. RNAcentral describes it as "partial contains 5.8S ribosomal RNA, internal transcribed spacer 2, and large subunit ribosomal RNA". The stretch from base 1 to 120 matches the Rfam family "5.8S ribosomal RNA", at positions 35 to 154 of the family's 154-position model. The record is from RNAcentral.